Molecule: ribosomal RNA, 509 nt
Filed under: uncultured bacterium
Lineage: Bacteria
Description: bacterial SSU rRNA
Rfam family: Bacterial small subunit ribosomal RNA
Source: RNAcentral
AGGGUUUGAUCCUGGCUCAGGACGAACGCUGGCGGUGCGCCUUAUGCAUGCAAGUCGAGCGAAGCUUUUCAGUAGUUUACUACAGAAAAUGACUGAGCGGCGAACGGGUGAGUAACGCGUGAGCAAUCUACCUUAGUUACAGGGAUAGCCCGAGGAAACUCGGAUUAAUACCUGAUAUUCUUUACAUUUCGCAUGAAAUCAAAAGGAAAGGUCAGCCGAACUAAGAUGAGCUCGCGUUCUAUCAGCUAGUUGGUGAGGUAAAAGCUCACCAAGGCAACGACGGAUAGCUGGUCUGAGAGGACGAUCAGCCACACUGGGACUGAGACACGGCCCAGACUCCUACGGGAGGCUGCAGCAGGGAAUAUUGCGCAAUGAGCGAAAGCUUGACGCAGCGACACCGCGUGUGGGAUGACGGAUCUAGGUUUGUAAACCACUUUCAGGAGGGAAGAAAAUGACGGUACCUCCACAAGAAGCCCCGGCCAACUACGUGCCAGCCGCCGCGGUAAUAC